RNAcentral lists this ribosomal RNA (427 nucleotides) under uncultured bacterium. Its description in RNAcentral is "bacterial SSU rRNA". It matches the Rfam family "Bacterial small subunit ribosomal RNA", at positions 355 to 775 of the family's 1533-position model. The record is from RNAcentral.
UGGGGAAUCUUGCGCAAUGGGCGAAAGCCUGACGCAGCAACGCCGCGUGAGCGAAGAAGGCCUUCGGGUUGUAAAGCUCUGUCAGGGGGAAAGAAGGCACCUGGGUUAACAGCCCAAGGGCUGACGGUACCUCCAAAGGAAGCCACGGCUAACUACGUGCCAGCAGCCGCGGUAAUACGUAGGUGGCAAGCGUUGUCCGGAAUCAUUGGGCGUAAAGAGCGCGUAGGUGGCUUGUCAGGUCUGAUGUGAAAACCUGGGGCUUAACUCCAGGCCUGCAUCGGAAACCGGCUUGCUAGAGUCUGGGAGAGGAGAGUGGAAUUCCUGGUGUAGCGGUGAAAUGCGUAGAUAUCAGGAGGAACACCGGUAGCGAAGGCGGCUCUCUGGAACAGUACUGACGCUGAGGCGCGAAAGCUAGGGGAGCGAACAG